RNAcentral lists this ribosomal RNA (318 nucleotides) under Leuconostoc mesenteroides. Its description in RNAcentral is "bacterial SSU rRNA". It matches the Rfam family "Bacterial small subunit ribosomal RNA", at positions 8 to 300 of the family's 1533-position model. The record is from RNAcentral. Lineage: Bacteria; Bacillati; Bacillota; Bacilli; Lactobacillales; Lactobacillaceae.
AGAGUUUGAUCCUGGCUCAGGACGAACGCUGGCGGCGUGCCUAAUACAUGCAAGUCGAACGAACUCUGGUAUUGAUUGGUGCUUGCAUCAUGAUUUACAUUUGAGUGAGUGGCGAACUGGUGAGUAACACGUGGGAAACCUGCCCAGAAGCGGGGGAUAACACCUGGAAACAGAUGCUAAUACCGCAUAACAACUUGGACCGCAUGGUCCGAGUUUGAAAGAUGGCUCGGCUAUCACUUUUGGAUGGUCCCGCGGCGUAUUAGCUAGAUGGUGAGGUAACGGCUCACCAGGCAAUGAUACGGCCUUCUCAUCCCAAUG